CACCACAACAGGUGGAGCCUGCGGUUUAAUCGGACUCAACGCCGGGAAACUCACCAGAUAAGACAGCGGAAUGAUAGCCGGGCUGAAGACUCUGCUUGACUAGCUGAGAGGAGGUGCAUGGCCGUCGUCAGUUCGUACUGUGAAGCACCCUGUUAAGUCAGGCAACGAGCGAGACCCACGCCAACAGUUGCCAGCAUGUCCUCCGGGAUGGUGGGGACACUGUUGGGACCGCCUCUGCUAAAGAGGAGGAAGGAAUGGGCAACGGUAGGUCAGCAUGCCCCGAAUUAUCCGGGCUACACGCGGGCUACAAUGGUCAGGACAAUGGGCAUCAACACCGAAAGGUGAAGGCAAUCUCUUAAACCUGUCCUUAGUUCGGAUUGUGGGCUGCAACUCGCCCACAUGAAGCUGGAAUCUGUAGUAAUCGCGUCUCAAAAUGGCGCGGUGAAUAUGUCCCUGCUCCUU
This 462-nucleotide ribosomal RNA is filed under the name uncultured Methanolinea sp. Its description in RNAcentral is "bacterial SSU rRNA". It matches the Rfam family "Archaeal small subunit ribosomal RNA", at positions 877 to 1338 of the family's 1478-position model. Lineage: Archaea; Methanobacteriati; Methanobacteriota; Methanomicrobia; Methanomicrobiales; Methanoregulaceae. The record is from RNAcentral.